This 475-nucleotide ribosomal RNA is filed under the name uncultured organism. Its description in RNAcentral is "partial 16S ribosomal RNA". It matches the Rfam family "Bacterial small subunit ribosomal RNA", at positions 333 to 799 of the family's 1533-position model. The record is from RNAcentral.
ACACUCCUGCGGGAGGCAGCAGUGGGGAAUUUUGGACAAUGGGCGAAAGCCUGAUCCAGCCAUGCCGCGUGCAGGAUGAAGGCCUUCGGGUUGUAAACUGCUUUUGUACGGAACGAAACGGCCUUUUCUAAUAAAGAGGGCUAAUGACGGUACCGUAAGAAUAAGCACCGGCUAACUACGUGCCAGCAGCCGCGGUAAUACGUAGGGUGCAAGCGUUAAUCGGAAUUACUGGGCGUAAAGCGUGCGCAGGCGGUUAUGUAAGACAGUUGUGAAAUCCCCGGGCUCAACCUGGGAACUGCAUCUGUGACUGCAUAGCUAGAGUACGGUAGAGGGGGAUGGAAUUCCGCGUGUAGCAGUGAAAUGCGUAGAUAUGCGGAGGAACAACGAUGGCGAAGGCAAGCCACUGGACCUGUACUGACGCUCAUGCACGAACGCGUGGGGAGCAAACAGGAUUAGAUACCCCGGUAGUCCCAUG